ACAACGAACUGUGAGAAGUCAGCAGAGGCCAUAGUAGGUAAAGUCCUGAAAUGGAUGUUGCUGAAGGGC
RNAcentral lists this non-coding RNA (69 nucleotides) under uncultured Mediterraneibacter sp. Lineage: Bacteria; Bacillati; Bacillota; Clostridia; Lachnospirales; Lachnospiraceae. The record is from RNAcentral.